Camellia sinensis is the source of this 996-nucleotide non-coding RNA. NCBI's taxonomy places the organism in Eukaryota, Viridiplantae, Streptophyta, Magnoliopsida, Ericales, Theaceae. The record is from RefSeq and is a predicted model, not a curated record.
UAAAUCAUUAUCCAGAAUUUGAGAAUUCAGGCAAACGGAUGCAUAUGGAUGCAAGUGACAUGUGGAAAAAUUGUUCUUACAAAUCAGGAAGAGAAUUUAAUAUAUCGAGCAAACAAGAAUUUUAAAUUUAGUCAUAAUAAUAGAAUUAAAUGUAUUGCGGAAACAAGCUUUUUGUUUUGAUAAGUAUAUCGACCAUAUAGGACUUUUAGUAUCAUCUCAAAGCCAUUGUCGAAGAACAACUUGGUAAUAAAACAAGCAAGAUUGAUUGAUCAUAUUCUUUCCUCUGAAUAGAACUUUUGAGUCCACAAGCUUCCACAUAUCAAAUUCACUUCAUAAGGACAAGUGUAAUCUAAAUCUGAGUUUAUAACAUUGAACGUGGGUAACAAAUUUCCUAAUAAGAGAAUACAGGCGGUUCAAGAAUGAAAUAUAAGGACAAUGUUGUCAAAAGCACCACGCAAUUACUAUGCAGAGAGGGUCCCCACCCUCCUUCGCACAUAUGAAAGCCUUCACAACCAAUAAGAAUACUUCAUCAACCAAAGCGAUGCACUGAAGGAACAAAAAAAUUGUUGCAUGAAUAAUAAAUUUCGAAACCUCGUAAAAAAUUAUUGUCUUAUAGCUGUGAUCAAAAUUAAAGCAGAAUAAAAACACUCAGAUAGGAAGUUCUUUACCUCUGAUCUUGCAGUGGCAUUGGCAACAUGGAAAUUAUUUUCAUUCUUUUCUAAGAGUAGUUUUUUAAACCACGUUUUUUCGUACAAUAAGGUAAUAGAUAUAGUAUUUAAAAUUUAUACGUCACAUAUAGAAGGAUGAAAGUCCAUCAUAUCGCUCUUCGAACGUGAUUUGAAGUAUCAAUCUUGGUAAUGGUAUCAUGGUCCCUAACAAAAUUAUUUCCAAUAAGGCUCAUUUUGCUCAAUUCACUAUGCAAAAAUCAUGGCAAAAAUUAGGUUUCAGUCUUUGAUCCCACAAGAAACAGAAAUUUAUUGAUAGUGAUGCAAAAAA